GAAAUGCGAUAAUUAAUGUGAAUUGCAGAAUUCAGUGAAUCAUCGAGUCUUUGAACGCACAUUGCGCCCCCUGGUAUUCCGGGGGGCAUGCCUGUCCGAGCGUCAUUGCUGCCCUCAAGCACGACUUGUGUGUUGGGCUUCCGUCCCUGGCAACGGGGACGGGCCCAAAAGGCAGUGGCGGCACCAUGUCUGGUCCUCGAGCGUAUGGGACUUUGUCACCCGCUCCCGUAGGUCCAGCUGGCAGCUAGCCUCGCAACCAAUCUUUUUAACCAGGUUGACCUCGGAUCAGGUAGGGAUACCCGCUGAACUUAAGC
This 314-nucleotide unclassified non-coding RNA is filed under the name plant metagenome. RNAcentral describes it as "partial contains 5.8S ribosomal RNA, internal transcribed spacer 2, and large subunit ribosomal RNA". The stretch from base 1 to 105 matches the Rfam family "5.8S ribosomal RNA", at positions 50 to 154 of the family's 154-position model. The record is from RNAcentral.